UGAGACGGACGAGGAAUCGCUUCACUUGCAUUUCGGUGCAAGCGGGGAGGAACCUCCGGACUCCAAAGGCAGGGUGCCCGUUUAAAUACGCUUAGAUUUUAAGCGAAAAUAGAGCGGGGGUAAGCGGCUAUAUCCGCUUAUACGGAAAGUGCAGCAGAAAAAAUACCGCCCCACCACCUCUUUUAUCGUAUUUCGGCGUAAGCGCUGAAAAUAAUUCACGAAGUGAAUUUACCAUGCUUUGCAUGGUGUGAUAAAAGAGGUGGUGGGGUAAGGGUGAAAUGGUGCCCCUCCUUCGCGAGGGCUUGUUCGCUUCGGCGGGCAAGGGUAAGAGCGCACCGUCCACUGAAGUAAUUCGGUGGCGCAUGGAAAACCCCACUUGGUGCAAGGCCAAAUAUGCGUAUGGAUCGCCUGUCCUUCCCUUCGGGGAAAACGCAGAGUGGGCCGCUUAGAUAAAUGGUUCCAUAAAACAGAAUCCGGGGUACUGUCCGUCUCAAAAA
RNAcentral lists this RNase P RNA (497 nucleotides) under Elusimicrobiota bacterium. RNAcentral describes it as "Elusimicrobia bacterium (groundwater metagenome) RNase P RNA component class A". It matches the Rfam family "Bacterial RNase P class A". From Rfam's summary of the family: Ribonuclease P (RNase P) is a ubiquitous endoribonuclease, found in archaea, bacteria and eukarya as well as chloroplasts and mitochondria. Its best characterised activity is the generation of mature 5'-ends of tRNAs by cleaving the 5'-leader elements of precursor-tRNAs. The record is from RNAcentral. Lineage: Bacteria; Pseudomonadati; Elusimicrobiota.